CCUACGGGUGGCUGCAGUGAGGAAUAUUGGUCAAUGGGCGCGAGCCUGAACCAGCCAAGUCGCGUGAGGGAGGACGGCCCUACGGGUUGUAAACCUCUUUUGCCGGGGAGCAACGGGCGUCACGUGUGGCGCCACUGAGAGUACCCGGAGAAAAAGCAUCGGCUAACUCCGUGCCAGCAGCCGCGGUAAUACGGAGGAUGCGAGCGUUAUCCGGAUUUAUUGGGUUUAAAGGGUGCGUAGAUGGGUUGUUAAGUCAGUUGUGAAAGUUUGCGGCUCAACCGUAAAAUUGCAAUUGAUACUGGCAGUCUUGAGUACAGUUGAGGUAGGCGGAAUUCGUGGUGUAGCGGUGAAAUGCAUAGAUAUCACACAGAACACCGAUUGCGAAGGCAUCUCACGAAUCCGCGAUUGACGCUGAUGCACGAAAGCGUGGGUAUCAAACAGGAUUAGAUACACCAGUAGUC
RNAcentral lists this ribosomal RNA (461 nucleotides) under uncultured bacterium. RNAcentral describes it as "partial 16S ribosomal RNA". It matches the Rfam family "Bacterial small subunit ribosomal RNA", at positions 338 to 795 of the family's 1533-position model. The record is from RNAcentral.